GUCUAUGUGGACAGAAUGUGGGAAACAGUGUUACAGAGAUUUAUUUACUGUUUUUCUGUAUAUGUAGGUCUCUCUUGCCUCCUGUAGACACCUUCCUCUAGUCAGGCAAGUGUUAGGGGAAAAAUGGCAUGUGUAGUAGAAAUACUGUCACAGCUUGAAGCAGUGAUUGAGCACCUGGUAGAAAGGCAGGGCCAACGCAGAGCAGGUCAGGUACAAUGCAAUGCAGCUGAGUGACCUGAAGGGCUGGAGCCAGGAUCCACUCCAUCCCAGGCCUCAUUUAAGAGUUGGCAGUGGAGGUGAGAAUAUCUUGCUGGAAAUCUCUGUCUACCUGAGUCCUUCCAAGGGCUUUGAAUACCCAAUGUCUGACAACUGAUGAAACGCAUCAGGCUCAAAAAAAAGCUGGAAAGCAGUAUCAGACCUUCUGGAUACAACAUGGACUUGAAGUUGAGCCAGUUUACUUUUUCAAGUCCCAGUAUGAACUAUGUCAGAAGAUGUUGCUCUCUGCAUCGGUACGCUCCUUAAAAUACAAAAUUUCUGUUUUGAUUGCUUGCAUGGUGGCUUAACAAUGUAGAGACUCUUUUGGAGUUUGGUUCCAGAUUUCAUGACUCAGUGAUGGUGACUUUUUCAUUUUGUUUUCCAAACUGUCUCUUUGUUUACUUCCAAAAUUUCCAUUGACUUCAGAGGAAGUAGGAUGGCGCCAAUGAGGUUCUUACAGCUUAAGAAAUCUGUCCAAAUUUGUCACUAGCUUAAAGAAUUUGGCUUAAGAAGUCCUUUUAUGUGUGGGCUAAUUGUGGUAAUGACUACAGCCAUUUGUAUGUACCAAGAUAUUCUAGCUUCUGCUCACAUUGUAAUUAGAUGUAUUAUCUUACAUCACUGAUUAAAUUGAAAUGCUUUCUUCUUAACUCUUUAAUUAAUAACUCCAUUAAUAAGUUGUAAAGCACUGUUCAGAGUAACACUUAAAAAAAAAAUUCUGCAAAGACCACGUGUAAGAGCAUGUUGUCUUAUUUUUAAUUAUUAUUGCUGGAUUUCAGAUAAUGCCCCAGGGACUUCAUUUGGGUGGUCAAGUAAUUCUGCAUGAGUAAUAAACAAAUAAUUCUACACCCAAUUCUGUUUUAUUCCCACAGCUGAGAUUCCUUAUGCAAGUAGUUCCACUUCAGUAUUUAGGCAUGCAGUUAAUCCUAGCUAUUUAUAUGGCUAAAUACCACACCCUGAAACAAAGGAUCCAGUAUCAGUCCAUG
This 1238-nucleotide long non-coding RNA is filed under the name Gallus gallus (chicken). Lineage: Eukaryota; Metazoa; Chordata; Aves; Galliformes; Phasianidae. The record is from RNAcentral.